AUGGAAAGAAUGAUAAAACAUGGGGAAUUUGGAGACCAGAUGAGUAUGCAUGUAUAAAAUUUGAAAUUGAAAUUAGUGAUGGAGGUUCUCUGUCAUAUGGCUUGAGCACAGCUGUAGAAUUUGCUGGUAGGAAGCACAAUAGUGGUGAAAAUAAGGAGGGUCUGAGCUUCAGCAUGUGCAAAAAGCUUGUGCAGGUGAGAAUUCUGGAUACUUUGUUCAUAUUUCAUUAUGUCUUUUGAUGCAUUAGUAGUGAGAGAAAUUUCUUGUGAUUACAUUUCACAUUUUUGAUGACCUGACUCUCUUUCUGUCCGAGUAACUAGAGGAUCAUUGUUGGCAUUUCUAUUAUUGCACUUCAUUUUUGGUGUUGGCCAUUUCCCUUUUCUUUCUUUUUCUUUUUCUUCCUUCCUUGUGAUCCCUCCAUUUCAUGAAAUGGAUUUUGUGCCUUCCAAUGAAAAUAAAACAAAUGUAAACCUUUCCAUUUCCUUGGCCAUAUGAAGUUCCAACAUUAUCUUGUUUUAUGGAUGAGCUAUUUCUAGUGUAGAACUGAAGCUGUUUUUUGUUGCUUACAUAUCAGUUUUGUUGGUUGGAACACACUAAUAUUUGCAAUUGAUACAUUUCCUCAUGAGAUCUCCUGCUUUGGAAACCACUAUCAGACAGGUGAUCUCCUGCUCACGUGUCAGUUCUUAAUGGAUUGGAUUAGGGUAAGGUUUACAGCAAACAUCUAAAAUCAAUUGUUUGUCUAAUAGGCUUUUGUCAAUACAAGACUGAAGAAACAGACUGCACUGAAUGAAAAAAAAAAAUGGGAAGAAAAAUGUUAAAUGAGUUUUUUUUUUUUUUUCUUUUUUGGUUAUAUAUAAAAUUUUCCGUUAAUUCUAGUACACCAUGAAUUUUUUUUACAAAAUUGAUAUUGCUAAUACACCAUACUGGAGGAUAAAAAGGCUUUGCUUCCAUCUCUAGCUUUUUGUAACUGCCAGGAAAUGUUCUACUCAUAAAAUAUGUGAAAAAAGCUUGUUAAAUCUUUGAUCUAGUUUAAAGUACAGCGCAAUAUAGUAGCAUUACUCCCUAAUACUAAUGUUUCAUUACAUUCCAUUUUAAGGAUUUCAAAGUAGUAAUGAGGAAUGCAAUGUGAGAAAUCUUUUUUGACCACUAAGAGUAGAUAACCAGUUCCCUGCUGUUUCCAUUGCAACUCGACCUGAUCACAAACCUAUUCCUUGUUUCUUUUGCCAUUCUUCCUGAAUAUAUGAUGUUCUAGUCUCAGAUAUUUGACGAUCCAUAAACUUGAUUGAUUAGGUUGUCACAAUAUGAUUGUCCGUGCAUGUGGUCAGUAGAGAGCAAUUUAGCCCCCCUAAACUUGUUUGAUUGCACAUUAUCAUUUAAUAAAAAUAUUGAUUAGCUCAUCUAUUGUUUACCGAAUUUUCAUUUAUUGUUGCUCUCUAACUAAAUUAGUCAAUAGUUUGAAGAACAAUGUUUCUGGACCUUAGAAUGCAUGUACAGUUUGAUGUUUUAUUUCAUGAUGAUAGUUUUAACUGGAUUUUUUGUGUGAAAAAUUCUGCAGAUGAUGCAAGGCAAUAUCUGGAUAUCCUCCAACCCUCAAGGUCUUGCACAAAGCAUGACACUUGUUCUCAAGUUUCAACUCCAGCCAUCUUUUGGGAGAUCCAUUUUUGGACUUGGAAAUUCCUCAGAACAACCAAAUUCCAAUUCUAUGUUCAGAGGACUUCGAGUUAUACUGGC
This 1731-nucleotide long non-coding RNA is filed under the name Vitis vinifera (wine grape). RNAcentral's name for it is "long non-coding RNA (VVIN_LNC004542)". Lineage: Eukaryota; Viridiplantae; Streptophyta; Magnoliopsida; Vitales; Vitaceae. The record is from RNAcentral.